AGUGAUUUAAGCGAUGAUGGGCACGAUUGCGAAGUGAUAGUCGUUUUGGAAUUCAUUAAAUCGCAGCAUGUAUCGUAGAGAUACCGUCGUGGGCCCUUGGUGGGCCCCAGGGUGACGCGCCACUUUCCCGAACCAUCAUUUUCUCGAACCGUUCAAAUUCCCGAAUCGCCAUUUUCCCGAACUAUCAUGUAGAAGUAAUUUUAGCGAAGUGUCAUCGUUGAGUGUAGAUAAGAACGUUGAGUGUGUGUCAUUCUCCCGAAUCGCUAUAUUCCCGACAUAUCAAUUUUCCGAAACUCUAUACUUAGACCCUGCCGCACCAUAUGACUGUGUUUUACGAUCGGAACCUAUCGUUGGAUCGGACUACCCGGGGCCGUUGACAUUGGCAGUCAGCGUCAGCGCAUCCUUGCCUAUGCAAGCUACCAAAUUGCAAAGUCAAUGGGCUGCACAAGAAGAUCAUUCGGAAUUGGUAAUUCAACCCUACCACUAGGUAACCGAGGUUUCCCAGAGGACAACGCAACCACCCGUGCCUCGACACGGCUGACGGAAGCUAAGGCAACCUCCACACGUCAGCACCUGACAUGGGCCCGACAGUUUUUCAUUGCAGACUUAGCUCACAAUCAAUACUUGAAGGUGUAAAAACAGACGUAGUAAGGUGACAACUUUUCUCCGUCUUACGAAAUGUGAUCGGUCGGUCUAGCUCAGGUCACGUGAUUAUUCAGUGGCGUGAUACAAAUGUCGAGUCCAGGCACAGAGCUUUUGAACAUAGAUUUCAGAGCAAGAGCCCGUGAACCCCAGACCUUCGUUAUUUUAUAAAAGCUGACAGUGUGUCAGUAAAUGCUCCCAAUACAGGUAAGAACGAUGGACCAUUAUGAAGUUUGGGUUGCCCUGGCUUUGGCAGGUAAACGGUACUAAAGGUGUGUAAAAUACCGAUUUAACUUCAUCAAAUAAUGAAGUGCGAUUUUUUGGUAUUAUCUUCAGAAUAUGAUAAAAAAUCACAUUAUUCAUUGCCAGUCACUUAACAUCUUGGCAACCCCUUACCAAACACCCUUAAUGUUCAUGAAAUUAUAAUUUUACUUACGUUAUAGUUUAAGAGCUGAUUUUUAUAUAUAAUACUUGAGUGAUAAGUAAAUUAUAUUUCGUCAUUAGCCAGACAUAGUUUUUCGUAAGAUUAAUGCCGCUUUUUGUAAAAUAUUUUCAGAUUUCAAGUUGUCAAAUACUGUUUCGUCAAUCGUCUUCAUAUACUUGGGUGCUAUUAUUUUUUUAUUCCGGAUUGUAAAGAAUUUAAUAUUUUUGGAAAACUUCUUAUCAAUUUUUUCUUUUAGGUGGUGUACAGUAAAAGUAGCAUCCAUUUCAAUGGAAUGGAAUGAGGCUGGCGUCCCAUGGUACGGAAAAUAUUCCGUCUCCACGAAGCCGGAACUAGUUACUUUUCAAGAGCCAAUCAGAGGCGUUCCGGAUCCACUGAUAAACGGGAUCUAUUUUUCUACUAUACCCAUGAUACGGAAUUGACACACACGGAACGAUCGCCAGCGAAUUGCGAUCGUUCUUUUUAGCGCUGAAUUCGAAAUGCGUUACUGUGACUGGCUGUCAGCGCUUCCGGGCUUGUGCAUUCCGUGACAUGGGACACCCGAUGGCUGCAAAGACGGAUUCGUGUCACCCACACAAGCAUAUGUAUUAUUUACAUUGAAUUCGUUGGUUUACAUCUUGUUUACAUGCUUACUUGUCGCGCUUAACCUCUCUUCAAGAAUUUAAAUAUUGUCAACAAGAAAUGGAUGCUGAAACCGUUUUGUUAUCUAUCGCAGCUGUGUGGAUCAAAUGGCAGACAGCACAGCCGAGACAGAGAGAUAUUUUGCGCCGCAAGUUGUUACAAUUUAUGAGCAUUUACGAUGUUUUGAAAUCAGAAAACGAUCGCGAUAGACGUAGAUUUUGGGUUCGGCCGAUAUUUAGUGCAGAGAUGCGAUUUCUGCAGGGUGCAAGUGACAACUUGAUAAGAGGUUAGAACUCUUUCGACGCAAGCAGCAAAGUUCUCUGUAAAAGUCGCAAUUUCUUCGAUGAGUCUGAUUUCUUACAAAAGUUGUCAUAGUAAUAUUGUAAAAUAAUAGUUCUCGAUCAGAUUUGUGACUCCCAGCUUUUCAAUUUCAGUAAGGAUUGAUGAUACUUAUUCAGUUGGUCAAUUAAAUUUUAGGCUUAAUCAAAUUUAUUUCAUCCUAUGUCACCCUAAUUAUCUAAGUUUGAUUUCGUGUCGCAUUAUUCAGCUGUCACAACAUAACCUAGUCAUGUUUAAAUACCGAGACCUCAGCUAUAUCCGAAAUGGUCAAUCUAACAGCUCGAGCUGGGUUCUGAGGGAUUGAUAGCUGACAAAAUCAACUGUUUUUCCAAUUCGCGCUUACGUACAAAAUCUGGGUGCGCAAUUUCACGUGAUCCUCACGUAUACUGCCUCGCGCUCGCUCCUACAGCUACCUUACAUGCUUGUCUGGCAAGAGGUUGGAAGUAUCAAAAAUGUCUGGCUAAUUAGGAAACAUAAUCUACUUAUUACUCAAGUAUUAUAUAUAAAAAUCAGCUUUUAUACUAUAACGUAAGUGAAAUUAUAAUUUCAUGAACAUUAAGGGUGUCUGGCAAGGGGUUGCCAAGAUGUUAAGUGACUGGCAAUGAAUAAUGUGAUUUUUUAUCAUAUUCUGAAGAUAAUACCAAAAAAUCGCACUUCAUUAUUCGAUGAAGUUAAAUCGGUAUUUUACACACCUUUAGUACCGUUUACCUGCCAAAGCCAGGGCAACCCAAACUUCAUAAUGGUCCAUCGUUCUUACCUGUAUUGGGAGCAUUUACUGACACACUGUCAGCUUUUAUAAAAUAACGAAGGUCUGGGUUUCACGGGCUCUUAGACUGGUAGGUGAUAUAUUUAUUAUUCAAUCGUGAGUAGUAUCAUAGAUAUAUCGUGACAGCAAAGGAUAUAUUAAAUUAUGAAAUAUGUGUGAAAUAAAUCUGAACUAUGCCAUUCAUGAUUAAUACAAA
Molecule: long non-coding RNA, 3006 nt
Organism: Athalia rosae (coleseed sawfly)
Lineage: Eukaryota; Metazoa; Arthropoda; Insecta; Hymenoptera; Athaliidae
Exons: 2
Source: RefSeq, a predicted model, not a curated record